RNAcentral lists this ribosomal RNA (468 nucleotides) under uncultured bacterium. RNAcentral's name for it is "partial 16S ribosomal RNA". It matches the Rfam family "Bacterial small subunit ribosomal RNA", at positions 28 to 507 of the family's 1533-position model. The record is from RNAcentral.
GACGAACGCUGGCGGUGUGCUUAACACAUGCAAGUCGAACGGUAAGGCCCUUUCGGGGGUACACGAGUGGCGAACGGGUGAGUAACACGUGAGUAACCUGCCCUCAUCUCUGGGAUAACAGUCGGAAACGGUUGCUAAUACUGGAUAUGAGCUUGCAAGGCAUCUUGUGGGUUGGAAAGAUUUUUUUUGGUUGGGGAUGGACUCGCGGCCUAUCAGCUUGUUGGUGAGGUAGUGGCUCACCAAGGCUUCGACGGGUAGCCGGCCUGAGAGGGCGACCGGCCACAUUGGGACUGAGAUACGGCCCAAACUCCUACGGGAGGCAGCAGUGGGGAAUAUUGCACAAUGGACGGAAGUCUGAUGCAGCAACGCCGCGUGCGGGAUGACGGCCUUCGGGUUGUAAACCGCUUUCAUUUGUGACGAAGCUUUUUUGUGACGGUAGCAGUAGAAGAAGCACCGGCUAACUACGUG